ACGGUACCUACAGAAAAAGCACCGGCUAACUACGGUGCCAGCAGCCGCGGUAAUACGUAGGGUGCAAGCGUUGUCCGGAAUUAUUGGGCGUAAAGAGCUCGUAGGCGGUUUGUCGCGUCUGCUGUGAAAAUCCGAGGCUCAACCUCGGACCUGCAGUGGGUACGGGCAGACUAGAGUGCGGUAGGGGAGAUUGGAAUUCCUGGUGUAGCGGUGGAAUGCGCAGAUAUCAGGAGGAACACCGAUGGCGAAGGCAGAUCUCUGGGCCGUUACUGACGCUGAGGAGCGAAAGCAUGGGGAGCAAACAGGCUUAGAUACCCUGGUAGUCCAUGCCGUAAACGUUGGGAACUAGAUGUGGGGACCAUUCCACGGUCUCCGUGUCGUAGCUAACGCAUUAAGUUCCCCGCCUGGGGAGUACGGCCGCAAGGCUAAAACUCAAAGGAAUUGACGGGGGCCCGCACAAGCGGCGGAGCAUGCGGAUUAAUUCGAUGCAACGCGAAGAACCUUACCAAGGCUUGACAUAUACGAGAACACUGUAGAGAUACAGGACUCUUUGGACACUCGUAUACAGGUGGUGCAUGGUUGUCGUCAGCUCGUGUCGUGAGAUGUUGGGUUAAGUCCCGCAACGAGCGCAACCCUCGUCCUAUGUUGCCAGCACGUAAUGGUGGGAACUCAUGGGAUACUGCCGGGGUCAACUCGGAGGAAGGUGGGGAUGACGUCAAAUCAUCAUGCCCCUUAUGUCUUGGGCUUCACGCAUGCUACAAUGGCCGGUACAAUGGGCUGCAAUACCGCAAGGUGGAGCGAAUCCCAAAAAGCCGGUCUCAGUUCGGAUUGAGGUCUGCAACUCGACCUCAUGAAGUCGGAGUCGCUAGUAAUCGCAGAUCAGCAACGCUGCGGUGAAUACGUUCCCGGGCCUUGUACACACCGCCCGUCAAGUCAUGAAAGUCGGUAACACCCGAAGCCGGUGGCCUAACCUUUUGGAGGGAGCCGUCGAAGGGGAGCAG
Molecule: ribosomal RNA, 1001 nt
Filed under: Agrococcus sp.
Lineage: Bacteria; Bacillati; Actinomycetota; Actinomycetes; Micrococcales; Microbacteriaceae
Description: bacterial SSU rRNA
Rfam family: Bacterial small subunit ribosomal RNA
Source: RNAcentral